RNAcentral lists this ribosomal RNA (443 nucleotides) under uncultured bacterium. RNAcentral describes it as "partial 16S ribosomal RNA". It matches the Rfam family "Bacterial small subunit ribosomal RNA", at positions 338 to 795 of the family's 1533-position model. The record is from RNAcentral.
CCUACGGGUGGCAGCAGUGGGGGAUAUUGGACAAUGGGGGAAACCCUGAUCCAGCGACGCCGCGUGAGUGAAGAAGUAUUUCGGUAUGUAAAGCUCUAUCAGCAGGGAAGAAAGAAAUGACGGUACCUGAGUAAGAAGCCCCGGCUAACUACGUGCCAGCAUCCGCGGUAAUACGUAGGGGGCAAGCGUUAACCGGAAUUACUGGGUGUAAGGGGAGCGUAGACGGGAAUGCAAGUCUGGAGUGAAGGGCGGGGGCCAACGACGCGGACUGCUCUGGAAACUGUGUAACUGGAGUGCAGGAGAGGCAGGCGGAAUUCGUGGUGUAGCGGUGAAAUGCGUAGAUAUUAGGAGGAACACCAGUUGCGAAGGCAGCCUGCUGGACUGUAACUGACGUUGAGGCUCGAAAGCGUGGGGAGCAAACAGGAUUAGAUACCCGGGUAGUC